Molecule: ribosomal RNA, 275 nt
Filed under: uncultured bacterium
Lineage: Bacteria
Description: partial 16S ribosomal RNA
Rfam family: Bacterial small subunit ribosomal RNA
Source: RNAcentral
CCUACGGGAGGCAGCAGUGGGGAAUAUUGGGCAAUGGGCGAAAGCCUGACCCAGCCACGCCGCGUGAGUGAUGAAGGCCUUCGGGUUGUAAAGCUCUGUGGGAAGGGGCGAAAAACUCAGACCUAAUACGUCUGAGGUUGACGGUACCUUCUUAGCAAGCACCGGCUAACUCUGUGCCAGCAGCCGCGGUAAGACAGAGGGUGCAAACGUUGCUCGGAUUUACUGGGCGUAAAGCGCGUGUAGGCGGGCGAAUAAGUCGGGUGUGAAAUCCCUGG